UGGGGAAUAUUGGACAAUGGGCGCAAGCCUGAUCCAGCCAUGCCGCGUGAGUGAUGAAGGCCUUAGGGUUGUAAAGCUCUUUCGACGGGGACGAUAAUGACGGUACCCGUAGAAGAAGCCCCGGCUAACUUCGUGCCAGCAGCCGCGGUAAUACGAAGGGGGCUAGCGUUGCUCGGAAUCACUGGGCGUAAAGGGCGCGUAGGCGGACGUUUAAGUCAGAGGUGAAAGCCCAGGGCUCAACCCUGGAAUGGCCUUUGAUACUGGACGUCUUGAGUCUGGUAGAGGUUGGUGGAACUGCGAGUGUAGAGGUGAAAUUCGUAGAUAUUCGCAAGAACACCGGUGGCGAAGGCGGCCAACUGGACCAGAACUGACGCUGAGGCGCGAAAGCGUGGGGAGCAAACAGGAUUAGAUACCCUGGUAGUCACGCCGUAAACGAUGGAUGCUAGCCGUUGGCCGUUUACCGGUCAGUGGCGCAGCUAACGCGUUAAGCAU
This 492-nucleotide ribosomal RNA is filed under the name uncultured bacterium. RNAcentral's name for it is "partial 16S ribosomal RNA". It matches the Rfam family "Bacterial small subunit ribosomal RNA", at positions 355 to 867 of the family's 1533-position model. The record is from RNAcentral.